RNAcentral lists this ribosomal RNA (253 nucleotides) under uncultured bacterium. RNAcentral's name for it is "partial 16S ribosomal RNA". It matches the Rfam family "Bacterial small subunit ribosomal RNA", at positions 524 to 776 of the family's 1533-position model. The record is from RNAcentral.
UACAGAGGGGGCAAGCGUUGUCCGGACUUACUGGGCGUAAAGCGUCCGCAGGUGGCGUAGCAAGUGUUGUGUGAAAGCCCCGCGCUUAACGCGGGGAGGCCACGACAGACUGUUGGGCUGGAGGGGUGCAGAGGGUCGUGGAAUUGCCGGUGUAGUGGUGAAAUGCGUAGAGAUCGGCAGGAACACCAAGGACGAAGGUAGCGACCUGGGCACCACCUGACACUCAGGGACGACAGCGUGGGGAGCCAACCGG